RNAcentral lists this long non-coding RNA (355 nucleotides) under Rattus norvegicus (Norway rat). Its description in RNAcentral is "long non-coding RNA NONRATT027867". The record is from RNAcentral. Lineage: Eukaryota; Metazoa; Chordata; Mammalia; Rodentia; Muridae.
ACAAGAAUGUGCCCAACCUUCACGUCAUGAAGGCCACGCAGUCUCUUAAGUCUCGAGGCUACGUGAAGGAGCAGUUUGCUUGGAGACAUUUCUACUGGUACCUCACGAAUGAGGGCAUCCAGUAUCUCCGAGAUUACCUGCACCUACCUCUGGGGAUCGUGCCCGCCACCCUGCGCCACAGCCGUCCCGAGACCGGUAGGCCUCAGCCCAAAGGUUGAGAGGGUAAGAAGCCUGCAAGAUUCACAAGAGGGGAGGCAGACAGAGACACCUACAGACGGAGUGCUGUGCCCCCUGGAACUGACAAGAAAGCUGAGGCUGGGGCUGGCUCAGCAACGGAAUUCCAGUUUAGAGGGGG